CCCCCUGUGUCAAUAGCGAGUUUUCCUUAGGCUACAUCUAUACCACCACCGAAAGUGAUUGGUCGCGACAAGGACCGUGAUCAUAUAAGACACCUCCUUACCCAGACGAGUGCUGCUGAGGCUAGUUCUGCCAAGUACUCAGGUUUGGCCAUUGUUGGAGCUGGAGGCAUGGGAAAAUCAACCCUGGCACAAUAUGUUUUCAAUGACAAGAGGGUAGAAGAAUGUUUUGAUGUCAAGAUGUGGGUCUUCAUCUCUCGCAAACUUGAUGUCCGUCGUCAUACACAGGAAAUUUUCGAGUCUGCAACAAAUGGGGAAUGCCCACGCCUUGACAACCUUGACACUCUCCAGGGAAAACUAAGAGAUAAACUGCAAGAAUGAGAGAAGUUCCUGCAGGUUCUGGAUGAUAUUUGGUUUGAUGAUUCCAACAAUCAGACGGAGUGGGACCAACUGCUAGCUCCUCUAGUUUCUCGGCACACUGGAAGCAAAGUUUUGGUAACUUCACGACGGGAUACACUUCCGGCUGCUCUUUGUUGCAGUGAAGUAGUAUUUUGUUUGGAAAACAUGGAAGAUAGGCAGUUCCUAGCACUGUUCAAAUACCAUGCCUUCUCUGAACAAGAAAUCAGAAAUCCACAGUUGUGUGAAAAACAAGAAGAGAUUGCAGAGGAAAUCGUUAAAAGGCUUGGGAAAUCUCCUUUGGCUGCAAAAGUUGUGGGUUCCCAGUUGAAUAAAACAAAUAUCAGUGCAUGGAAAGAUGCUCUAUCUAUACAGAUUGACAACUUAAGUGAGCCCAGGAGAGCUCUGCUAUGGAGUUAUGAGAAGUUAGAUCCACGUCUACAGAGGUGCUUUCUUUAUUGCAGCUUAUUUUCGAAAGGUCACAUGUAUGGCAUCGAGGAGUUGAUUCACCUGUGGGUAGCAGAGGGAUUUGUUGAUUCAUGCAACAUGAGCAAGAGAAUGGAAGAUAUUGGAAGAGAUUACUUCAAUAUGGUCUCUGUUUCAUUCCUUCAACAAGUUUCGAAUGGAUAUACCCAUGUUAUGCAUGAUCUCCUUCAUGAUUUGGCACAGUCACUCUCGAAACAAGACUGCUUCAGAUUGGAAGAUGAUAAGAUGACGGAGAUACCAUGCACCGUUCGACAUCUCUCUGUUUGUGUUGAGAGUAUGAUACAACAUAAGCAAAGUAUCUGCAGGUUACAUCAUUUACGCACUGUUAUCUGCAUUGACCCAGUAAUAGAUGACAUAAAUGAUGUUUUUAAUCAGGUACUACAGAGACUGAAGAAGUUGCGUGUACUAUAUUUGUCAUUAUACAACAAGAGCAAGUUGCCAGAAUCUAUUGGUGAGCUGAAGCACCUUCGAUAUCUGAACAUCAUCAGAAGUUUGGUUUCUGAGCUGCCGAGGUCAUUAUGUACUCUUUAUCACCUGCAAUUUCUUCAGUUCAGUGAUAAACUCCAUAGUUUGCCUGAGGUGCACUGCAACUUAAGUAAUUUACGUCAUCUUGGGAUGUAUGUUGAUAUAUGGUCAAUAUACAAAUCAGAUCGGCAAAUUCCUAACAUAGGCAAGCUAACCUCACUCCAAAACCUUGAGGAUUUUUAUUUGCAGAAGCAGAAGGGAUAUGAGUUACGACAGCUGGGGAACAUGAAGGAGCUUGGUGGCAGUUUAAGUGUCAAAAAUCUUGACAUUGUUACUGGGAGGGAUGAAGCCUUAGAGGCGAAGCUACAUCAGAAAAGUCAUCUCAAAAGCUUGCAUUUUGCCUGGUGUUGCAGGGAUGAUGUUAAUGCAGAGGAUCGUUUACAUUUAGAGGUUUUAGAAGGUCUGAAGCCACCACCACAACUAUUGGCCCUUGCAAUCCAAGGUUAUAGAGCAGCGAAAUAUCCAAAUUGGUUAUUUGAGGAUUCACAUUUUUAGAAUUUGGAAUCCUUUUCACUUGCUGAUUGCAGUAUGUUAGAAGGCCUGCCAUCUAAUAUCAACCUCUUCAGGAAUUGCUGUUCACUUGUCCUCGAGAAUGUCCCAAACCUGAAGAUAUUGCCUUGUCUUCCAGCUACAUAUUAAAAAUUUAAAAAUAAAAAAUGUCCACUGCUUACCUUUAUUUCCAACCAUGAGCUGGGACAACAUGAUCAAAGUGAGGACAUCAAGAGGACUGACCAUGUGGAAUCACAACUUGCUUCUGUAUAUGAGGUAUCUCAAGGACCAAAGAUUUUUUGGAAGGUACUGUCCUCUGAACAUUCAUCAUUUAAGCAGUUGAUCCCAUUGAUUGACGCUGGUACAUCGUCACAUCUUCAAACCAUUGGAAGUGCUCUUGGAAGAUGGCCAGGUGAAAUAUUAGAUGUAAAAGAGGAUAUCAUCAAGGCAUGGUGCUGCCACAAGCAGAGGAUAAGACUAAUUUAUGCAGGGACAGCAGAGCUGCCGCUGGUUCUACCAUCAAGACUUUGUGAACUUACUAUUUCUUCAUGCAAUAUUACAGAUGGAGCAUUAGCUAUUUGCCUUCAUGGUCUCACUUUACUGAAAGAACUGAGCUUAUCAAAGGUUAUGACUUUAACUACACUUCCGUCACAAGAGGUCCUCCAAUAUUCGACAAAGCUUUGUAACCUGAAAAUCAAAGAAUGCUGGUGUCUCCGAUCAUUAGGGGGCAUACGAGCCGCUACCUCUCUUGAGCACCUUAGGUUGGCUUCCUGUCCUUCUUUGGAGUUGGCAAGUGGAGCAUAAAUUAUGCCAUUAUCCCUUCGGUAUCUCCUUAUAGCGGAAUGCGUGCUUGCAGCUGAUUUCUUCUGUGGUGAUUGGCCACACUUGACAAGUAUUUUCAUAUGGGGUUGUAGAAGCACUGCAACCUUGUCCAUUGGUAGUCUAACCUCCCUUGAAUCUUUAUCACUUUCUUUUCUGCCAGAUUUGUGCACGCUCAAAGGAUUGACUUCCCUGCAACUUCGUCAUGUAACUUUAAAAAAUGUUCCCAGUCUCAGCACCGAGUGCAUCUCACAAUUUCGAGUCCAGAAAUCACUCGAAAUUAGCAGUUCCGUGAUGCUCAACCACAUGCCCUCGGGUGAAGGUUUUACAGCCCCCCCACGUCUCAAUAUUGACUGCUGUGAGGAACCAUCCAUUUCAUUUGAAGAAUCUGCAAACUUCACAUCUGUCGUGUGUCUGCACUUUUAUGGUUGCGCAAUGAGGUCUCUACCAACAAAUCUGAAGUGCUUCUCCAGUCUGGCGGAUCUCCAAAUUCUACACUGUUACAACAUAUCAUCUCUGCCAGAUCUGCCAACCUCCCUCCGGCGCAUACAUAUAGUGAAUUGUGGUCUCCUGGAGAAGAGCUGUCGUGCACCUGAUGGAGAAAGCUGGCCAAAGAUUGCGCAUAUCCGCUGGAAGGAUAUUCAUUCAGGGGUGAUUCGUAAAUACAAUGAAAUGUAA
Molecule: ribosomal RNA, 3390 nt
Filed under: Triticum aestivum (bread wheat)
Lineage: Eukaryota; Viridiplantae; Streptophyta; Magnoliopsida; Poales; Poaceae
Description: partial small subunit ribosomal RNA
Source: RNAcentral